Long non-coding RNA from Mycetomoellerius zeteki, 1818 nucleotides. RefSeq lists it as uncharacterized. Lineage: Eukaryota; Metazoa; Arthropoda; Insecta; Hymenoptera; Formicidae. The transcript has 4 exons. The record is from RefSeq and is a predicted model, not a curated record.
UUAUUUCAGCGAUUUAUUUCUAUCAGUAUAAGCACCGCACAAAAAGUGGAUAUUGUUGUGUUCCCCCCAAUAUUUCUCGGUGACCCUCCAAUAUUUUUCGCAAAUUGAUGCCUAUGAUGGAAAUAAUGAAAAUAUUAAUAGAUUAAUUGCAAUAUUGGACACAAAAGAAUAGGAAUAAAUAUUCGAGGCAAAGCAGUGCACCUUUUAUAGUACGUAUAGAAUCAAUGACCGAAAAUAUAGGCAAUCUUCAUCCGGUGAGCCUAGGCAAAAGACUAUUUAACAAAGUGGAUAAUAUUUUAAAUAUCAGAAGAUUGAGUAAAAAUAUUAUUUGCAUUAAAUUUAAAGGAGGAUGCCCACGGAAUAGGGGGAUUUCUACCCUAGAGAUGGAACUUCUGAAACCGAUAAAUUCAUUUAGAAUAUGAUGAAAUCUAUCGCCCAAUAUCAAAUUCCAUUUUCUUAUCUGCAAGGAAAGUUGAAAAAAUCAUGUAGCGACGACGUGGUGACGAAAGAGGCAGAGAGCGAGCGAGACAGUGAGAGUGGAGAGGGAAAGCCGCUGGCGUGCCCAGGGGCGUUACUGUGUUGAUUGACUCAUUUAUAAUCAUAGGUGAUUUUCGUAGAUUUUUUCAUGUUGAAUUCGAAUCCGUAACCAAAAUUGCUCCAUCACAUCAGGUUUACGAGAUAUUUUAAUCUAAAAAUGUCUGAAAUAGACUUUUUUGGCACUUUUGGAUUAGAAUAUCUCAGAAACCUGACGUGAUGGAGCAAUUUUGGUUACAGAUUUGGUUUUAGCAUACCAAAAACCUUUGGGAUUAUAUACUGCCGUUUCUGGAUAAAAUGUUAAAAGAGAAUAAAGCAAAACAAUCGAGCAAAGACAAGAGCGAAAACAUGGAGUAUGUGGAACUGUCCGACGAUGAGUUGUUGCAUAAUGAGAAGUCCACGCUGCAUAAGAAAUCUAGCGUAAGGAACUAUGCAGAAAGAAAUCUACGCAGAAAAAAGCUGUAAUCGGAUUCUUAAAUGCAGAAAUUGAUCAUUUACGAGAGGAGACAACUGUCUCAAACUCAUCGCAAAAUCGGGACAGAAAUAUACAUGGGAUAGAUAUUGUAUCUUUUGAUCACAAAAAAUUAAGCCUGUGGAAACAACGAUGAACGAUUAGGAAAAGGCAAUUCGCUGAUUAAACAUGCGCUUGACAGACAUUCGUAAACACGUACAAAUAUUGGAGAUGGAGAGAGAAACACGAAACUCCGAAAUCAAUAAUUACAAAGUACAAAUAAAUAAUUUAAAUGAACAAUUCGCCUUAGCGCCGCAGAGAAGAAUCUGAAUAUCGACGAGACUUCGGUGCAGCAAUAUGCGGCAGGAAUUGAUAAAAUCAAACAGGACAUGCAGCAAGACUUAGAGAACAGACACAUCAAGGAAUUGUCCGCUUUUCAGAUGCAGUUAGAUCGACUACGAGAAAACUGUCGAGGCGUUAAAGCUAGGAUUGAUAAAUUAUACAGAGUCGCAGAAAGUUGAAUCAGAUGUCCACUAGUACGUGAAAGUAAAAUUCAACGAAAUAAAAUUUGAAGUACUAUCGGUAGAGGCAGAGUAUGUGCAGCGAAGAGGUGCUCACUGAGUUUAUAUUAUCUUCGAAAAGAAUAAUUUGAUAUUUUUUAAUCAAAGAACAGGGUAAUAAAAAAUUGUUAGGAUCAAAUCAAUUCCAAGUUACACGUCAUCGUUGUUCCUGUGAGUAAGCAAUUUGUAGCGAAUUGAUAAACUAAUUUCACGAAAGAAGAAUUUACUUAAUAAUUAAGGAGGUCCUCCAGUCAUAAAACACAUAUAUUAAUA